AUUGAACGCUGGCGGCAGGCCUAACACAUGCAAGUCGAACGAGUGGCGGACGGGUGAGUAAUGUCUGGGAAACUGCAUGAUGGAGGGGGAUCUCUACUGGAAACGGUAGCUAAUACCGCAUAACAUCAGCUGCGCCCAGAUGGGAUUAGCUAGUGGGUGGGGCAACCGCUCACCCAGGGGACGAUCCCUAGCUGGUCUGAGAGGAUGACCAGGCAAACUGGAACUGAGACAAGGUCCAAACUCCUACGGGAGGCAGCAGUGGGGAAUAUUGCACAAGUGGCGCAAGCCUGAUGCAGCCAUGCCGCGUGUAUGAAGAAGGCCGUCGGGUUGUAAAGUACUUUCAGCGGGGAGGCGGUACCCGCAGAAGAAGCACCGGCUAACUCCGUGCCAGCAGCCGCGGUAAUUC
This 406-nucleotide ribosomal RNA is filed under the name uncultured bacterium. RNAcentral describes it as "partial 16S ribosomal RNA". It matches the Rfam family "Bacterial small subunit ribosomal RNA", at positions 30 to 526 of the family's 1533-position model. The record is from RNAcentral.